AACGCACAUUGCGCCCCUUGGUAUUCCAUGGGGCAUGCCUGUUCGAGCGUCAUUUGUACCUUCAAGCUCUGCUUGGUGUUGGGUGUUUGUCUCGCCUUUUGCGCGCAGACUCGCCUCAAAACGAUUGGCAGCCGGCGUAUUGAUUUCGGAGCGCAGUACAUCUCGCGCUUUGCACUCACAACGACGACGUCCAAAAAGUACAUUUUUACACUCUUGACCUCGGAUCAGGUAGGGAUACCCGCUGAACUUAA
RNAcentral lists this unclassified non-coding RNA (251 nucleotides) under uncultured Didymellaceae. RNAcentral's name for it is "sequence contains ITS2". Lineage: Eukaryota; Fungi; Ascomycota; Dothideomycetes; Pleosporales; Didymellaceae. The record is from RNAcentral.